UACAGAGGUCUCAAGCGUUGUUCGGAUUCAUUGGGCGUAAAGGGCGCGUAGGCGGUGAUGCAAGGCUGGUGUGAAAUCUCGGAGCUCAACUCCGAAAUUGCACCGGAUACUGCGUGACUCGAGGACUGUAGAGGAGAUCGGAAUUCACGGUGUAGCAGUGAAAUGCGUAGAUAUCGUGAGGAAGACCAGCUGCGAAGGCGGAUCUCUGGGCAGUUCCUGACACUGAGGCACGAAGGCCAGGGGAGCAAACGGG
RNAcentral lists this ribosomal RNA (253 nucleotides) under uncultured bacterium. RNAcentral describes it as "partial 16S ribosomal RNA". It matches the Rfam family "Bacterial small subunit ribosomal RNA", at positions 524 to 776 of the family's 1533-position model. The record is from RNAcentral.